This is a long non-coding RNA of Xenopus tropicalis (tropical clawed frog), 105 nucleotides long. RefSeq lists it as uncharacterized. The record is from RefSeq and is a predicted model, not a curated record. Lineage: Eukaryota; Metazoa; Chordata; Amphibia; Anura; Pipidae. The transcript is spliced from 2 exons.
ACAUGGGCCUCAAGAACAGCUGCCUGAGACCCAGGAACCAGGGCUCAGCGAGAACAUCCUGUGGCCCCAGCGCUGACCCCUAUCUGUGCUCUAUAAAGAAGAAGA